RNA transcript from Anopheles aquasalis, 651 nucleotides. It is a transcript of the gene named electron transfer flavoprotein regulatory factor orsai, with no coding region annotated. Lineage: Eukaryota; Metazoa; Arthropoda; Insecta; Diptera; Culicidae. The record is from RefSeq and is a predicted model, not a curated record.
GAUCUUCUCCACCAGCGGGUUGCACAACUGGCCACCAUCAUUACCUUCAGCGAUAUUCGGCACCUUACUCGAGCUAAACAGGCCUCGCAGAUUUUGCUUCCCCAGACAAAGGCGACAUAUCCGCCGUAAAUGUUUGUUUACGUUUUUGGUCGCACGAUUUAACGCAAAACCAACAUCCCCCGCUCAAAGCAACCUGUGGACCCACGAUGGCCGAUCAACGGCGACGUGUCUUGGAUCUUUACAAAAGGCUCCAGUAUAUGGGUCGCGAGUAUCCGGGAGGGCCUGAGAAAUUUCGGCAGCGUUGCUACAACGCCUUUAAGCGCCAGAGCACCGAAACGAAUCCGUACAAGAUCCAGAAGGCCAUCGAUCUGGGCGAGUACGUUGUGAAAGAGAUCGAAGCACUCUACAGCCUGCGAAAAUACCGGGCCAUGAAGCGCCGAUAUUACGAUGAGAAAUGAUGAAAAGCUGGCCCGGUCAGAGCGUAGGGAGGGGUGAAUAUUGUCCAUUCCCUGGAAGGAGAGCGAUGGAGCUGCGUGCAGUGUGAUCAUUCGGUAGGCCCUGGUCUGGUGUUCCGGCGUUCAUCGUCGUCGCUAGCUAGUUGGACUUUGGACGGCCAGCUGUAGCAUAGCGGGAGUGAAUCCGAAACAUCUU